GAGGGUAUAGUUCAGUGGUAGAACACAUGUCUAGCAUGCACAAGGUCCUGGGUUCAAUCUCCAGUACCAACA
Molecule: transfer RNA, 72 nt
Filed under: Camelus bactrianus (Bactrian camel)
Lineage: Eukaryota; Metazoa; Chordata; Mammalia; Artiodactyla; Camelidae
Also listed under: 2 other names
Rfam family: tRNA
About the family: Transfer RNA (tRNA) molecules are approximately 80 nucleotides in length. Their secondary structure includes four short double-helical elements and three loops (D, anti-codon, and T loops).
Source: Rfam by way of RNAcentral